UACGUAGGGUGCAAGCGUUGUCCGGAAUUAUUGGGCGUAAAGAGCUCGUAGGCGGCCUGUCGCGUCGGAUGUGAAAAUCCAAGGCUCAACCUUGGACCUGCAUUCGAUACGGGCAGGCUAGAGUUCGGUAGGGGAGACUGGAACUCCUGGUGUAGCGGUGAAAUGCGCAGAUAUCAGGAGGAACACCGGUGGCGAAGGCGGGUCUCUGGGCCGAUACUGACGCUGAGGAGCGAAAGCGUGGGGAGCGAACAGG
This 253-nucleotide ribosomal RNA is filed under the name uncultured bacterium. RNAcentral describes it as "partial 16S ribosomal RNA". It matches the Rfam family "Bacterial small subunit ribosomal RNA", at positions 524 to 776 of the family's 1533-position model. The record is from RNAcentral.